RNAcentral lists this long non-coding RNA (339 nucleotides) under Androctonus crassicauda. Lineage: Eukaryota; Metazoa; Arthropoda; Arachnida; Scorpiones; Buthidae. The record is from RNAcentral.
CGGCUUAGGAUCAGGGUCUGGUGAAGGGGCAGGAGGCGCCAUGUCGGGCCGCGAAGGUGGCAAAAAGAAGCCCCUGAAACAGCCCAAGAAGCAGGCCAAGGAGAUGGACGAGGAAGAUAAGGCAUUCAAACAGAAGCAGAAGGAGGAGCAGAAGAAACUCGAGGAGCUAAAAGCAAAGGCCGCGGGGAAAGGCCCCCUGGCCACCGGUGGAAUUAAGAAAUCUGGCAAAAAGUAAGCUGUUCCUCACAUCUGGGGUGAUAGUGACCCUCCUCUUCCAUUCCUAUUUAAACAUCUGGAUUCCCUGCCAUAGCAUCUUUGCCACCUACAGCUAGAAUGAAG